Molecule: ribosomal RNA, 264 nt
Filed under: uncultured bacterium
Lineage: Bacteria
Description: partial 16S ribosomal RNA
Rfam family: Bacterial small subunit ribosomal RNA
Source: RNAcentral
ACUCCUACGGGAGGCAGCAGUGGGAAUAUUGGACAAUGGGCGAAAGCCUGAUCCAGCCAUGCCGCGUGUGUGAAGAAGGCCUUAGGGUUGUAAAGCACUUUAAAGCAGGAAAGAAAAGCGCCGGAUUAAUACUCCCGAGCGUAUUGACGGUACCUGCAGAAUAAGCACCGGCUAACUCCGUGCCAGCAGCCGCGGUAAUACGGAGGGUGCAAGCGUUAAUCGGAAUUACUGGGCGUAAAGCGUGCGUAGGCGGUUGCGUGUGUC